GUAGGGAGCAAACGUUGUCCGGAUUUAUUGGGCGUAAAGGGCUCGUAGGCGGUUCAACAAGUCGGUCGUGAAAACCCGGGGCUCAACCCCGGGACGCCGGUCGAAACUGUUGUGACUAGAGUUCGGUAGAGGUGAGUGGAAUUCUCGGUGUAGCGGUGGAAUGCGCAGGUAUCGAGAGGAACACCAUUAGCGAAGGCGGCUCACUGGGCCGAUACUGACGCUGAGGAGCGAAAGCGUGGGGAGCAAACAGGAUUAGAUACCCUGGGUAGUCCACGCCGUAAACGAUGAACACUAGGUGUGGCGGACUGAUUCAUGUCGGCUGCGCCCGUAGCUAACGCAUUAAGUGUUCCGCCUGGGGGAGUACGGCCGCAAGGCUA
Molecule: ribosomal RNA, 377 nt
Filed under: uncultured organism
Description: partial 16S ribosomal RNA
Rfam family: Bacterial small subunit ribosomal RNA
Source: RNAcentral